CCGCUCCUUGGUUCUGAUUUCCUCAGCAGCCUGUGCUUGAUGCCAAGUGGUGUUGUCCAACCCAGACCUGAUUCCUCCCUUGACUGUCCUCCGACCUUCCAAUUCUAGCUGCAUGGACAUUGCACACUUGGUCUCAGGAGACUCCAGUUUCAGUUUCUUAGCUGGUUCUCUGAGUGAGGUGAUGGGGAAUCCCUAGCAUUUCUUAGUACUGAUUGUGAGCUUCCCCUCUGCAUGUUAGCAUGCAGUUCGUGACGAUUCACUACAAAUCUGCUCUUUAUGGAGGGAGAGUAUAGGGGGAGCCCAGUAUCACUUUCCAAAUCCUACCCAUCCUUUGAGGCCCAGGCAGGCCCUACCUAUACCACAGUUUGUCCUCUGAACUCUGAGAGCACUUAACUUCAGGGACACCCAAAUUGACAUUUACAUCAAGGGCAUGUGAAUUAUUUUCUAUUUUAGAAUAGAGUUUGUACUUCUUGAAAAUAAUAUUGUACCAUGUAGCUCUUUUUGGUAAUCUUUGCAUUGCCUUGAAUAGUGCUGAUUUUAAAACUAGAUUUUAAAAUAUAAUUUGGCAUAGUUCAAUAAGUCUGGGUUUCAUGUGCUGUCUUCUCUAUCCCAGGAGAUUCUGUCUCAUGUUAUUGUUAAGAGCAUGUGUGGCAUGCCUAGCAAGAAACCUGAAGCCAGCUCCUUGAGAUUGCUCCCUCUUUCACUCUGGAGAUUCCUAAAAGUCAAUGCAAGAAUUCUAGAAAGGAGCCCCUGAUGGAUGCCAAGGGUGUCAUUUGAAUGGGCACCAUUGUUGCUGGAGAGGAUGUGGAGAAAUAGGAACACUUUUACACUGUUGGUGGGACUGUAAACUAGUUCAACCAUUGUGGAAGACAGUGUGGCGAUUCCUCAAGGAUCUAGAACUAGAAAUACCAUUUGACCCAGCAAUCCCAUUACUGGGUAUAUACCCAAAGGAUUAUAAAUCAUGCUGCUAUAAAGACACAUAAACACAUAUGUUUAUUGCGGCACUAUUCACAAGAGCAAAGACUUGGAACCAACCCAAAUGUCCAUCAAUGACAGACUGGAUUAAGAAAAUGUGGCACAUAUACACCAUGGAAUACUAUGCAGCCAUAAAAAAAGAUGAGUUCAUGUCCUUUGUAGGGACAUGGAUGAAGCUGGAAACCAUCAUUCUGAGCAAACUAUCGCAAGGACAGGAAACCAAACACCGCAUAUUCUCA
Molecule: long non-coding RNA, 1214 nt
Filed under: Homo sapiens (human)
Lineage: Eukaryota; Metazoa; Chordata; Mammalia; Primates; Hominidae
Description: long non-coding RNA NONHSAT175197.1
Source: RNAcentral